ACGCAGCAAAUCGAUAUUAAUUUGAAUUUCAGAAUUCAGUGAAUCAUGAAUUUUGAACGCCAUUGCCCCGCCAGUAUUCUGGCGGGCAUGCCUGUUCGAGCGUCAUUUCAACCCUCAAGCACAGCUUGGUGUUGGGACUCGCGUUAAUUCGCGUUCCCCAAAUUGAUUGGCGGUCACGUCGAGCUUCCAUAGCGUAGUCGUAAAACCAUGGGGAGGAGCAAGAUGCAAUAGAGGGGUAUGCCGUGCACAUGAUACGAGCGCAGAGCGUGUCGGAUAUGCUAUAUAGAGAAUAAGUCGGAUGAUGCAGUAAAUCAAGAAGCUGCGAGAUCCCAUUGCGUCCCUAAAAGUUUUUGUUUUGCAUGUGAGGGAGGAGCAAGAUGCAAUAGAGGGGUAUGCCGUGCACAUGAUACGAGCGCAGAGCGUGUCGGAUAUGCUAUAUAGAGAAUAAGUCGGAUGAUGCAGUAAAUCAAGAAGCUGCGAGAUCCCAUUGCG
RNAcentral lists this ribosomal RNA (492 nucleotides) under Fusarium oxysporum f. sp. ciceris. RNAcentral describes it as "eukaryotic LSU rRNA". The stretch from base 1 to 105 matches the Rfam family "5.8S ribosomal RNA", at positions 43 to 154 of the family's 154-position model. The record is from RNAcentral. Lineage: Eukaryota; Fungi; Ascomycota; Sordariomycetes; Hypocreales; Nectriaceae.